ACAGGUAUAGCUCAGUGGUAGAGCAUUUGCCUAGCAUGUGCAAAGCCCUGGGUUCCAUUCCUAGCACUGGGA
This 72-nucleotide transfer RNA is filed under the name Fukomys damarensis (Damara mole-rat). It matches the Rfam family "tRNA". Rfam says of the family: Transfer RNA (tRNA) molecules are approximately 80 nucleotides in length. Lineage: Eukaryota; Metazoa; Chordata; Mammalia; Rodentia; Bathyergidae. The record is from Rfam by way of RNAcentral.